Molecule: ribosomal RNA, 476 nt
Filed under: uncultured organism
Description: partial 16S ribosomal RNA
Rfam family: Bacterial small subunit ribosomal RNA
Source: RNAcentral
UACACUCCUGCGGGAGGCAGCAGUGGGGAAUUUUGGACAAUGGGCGAAAGCCUGAUCCAGCAAUGCCGCGUGAGUGAAGAAGGCCUUCGGGUUGUAAAGCUCUUUUGUCAGGGAAGAAACGGUGAAAGCUAAUAUCUUUUGCUAAUGACGGUACCUGAAGAAUAAGCACCGGCUAACUACGUGCCAGCAGCCGCGGUAAUACGUAGGGUGCAAGCGUUAAUCGGAAUUACUGGGCGUAAAGCGUGCGCAGGCGGUUUUGUAAGUCUGAUGUGAAAUCCCCGGGCUCAACCUGGGAAUUGCAUUGGAGACUGCAAGGCUAGAAUCUGGCAGAGGGGGGUAGAAUUCCACGUGUAGCAGUGAAAUGCGUAGAUAUGUGGAGGAACACCGAUGGCGAAGGCAGCCCCCUGGGUCAAGAUUGACGCUCAUGCACGAAAGCGUGGGGAGCAAACAGGAUUAGAUACCCCAGUAGUCCCAUG